This 426-nucleotide ribosomal RNA is filed under the name uncultured Fibrobacter sp. RNAcentral describes it as "bacterial SSU rRNA". It matches the Rfam family "Bacterial small subunit ribosomal RNA", at positions 355 to 794 of the family's 1533-position model. Lineage: Bacteria; Pseudomonadati; Fibrobacterota; Fibrobacteria; Fibrobacterales; Fibrobacteraceae. The record is from RNAcentral.
UUAGGAAUAUUGGGGCAAUGGAGGAAACUCUGACCCAGCAACGCCGCGUGAAGGAUGAAGGUUUUCGGAUUGUAAACUUCUGAUCUGUGGAAAGAAAAAAUGACGGUACCACAGGAGCAAGCCCCGGCAAACUUCGUGCCAGCAGCCGCGGUAAUACGAGGGGUGCAAGCGUUGUUCGGAAUCACUGGGCGUAAAGGGAGCGCAGGCGGAAGCUCAAGCGGAUUGUACGAUACCGGGGCCCAACCCCGGACCUGCAGUCCGAACUGGGUUUCUUGGAUAGUUCAGGGGCAAGCGGAAUUCCUGGUGUAGCGGUGGAAUGCGUAGAGAUCAGGAAGAACACCGAUGGCGAAGGCAGCUUGCUGGGGGACUUAUCGACGCCCAUGCUCGAAAGUGCGGGUAGCAAACAGGAUUAGAUACCCUGGUAGU